AAUUGUAAAAUAGUCAAAAUUGGGAGUUUUUAUGAAGAAAUUAGACCAGAAUUUUAAAAUAAAUCUAAAACCCCCCCAUUCAACAGCUUUGUUUCACGUUAAGUUUUGCUCCACUUACUUGUGUCGUUUUUGCUCUCCUCUUACUCUUAUAAUUUCUUUUGCUCUUCAAUUCCUAAUUACCUUUGAAUUCUAACACCCUUGAACCUUAAAUCUCUAUAAAAACAAAAAAAAAAUCACCCAAAACUACACCAUCUACAUCAUCUUCUCCAAAAGUAGGUUUUUCUAGAUUUGCAUCAAAGCUCAUUUUUUUCCAUCAAAGGUAACCAUUUGACUUUCU
This 337-nucleotide long non-coding RNA is filed under the name Gossypium raimondii (Peruvian cotton). Its description in RNAcentral is "long non-coding RNA (GRAI_LNC010456)". The record is from RNAcentral. Lineage: Eukaryota; Viridiplantae; Streptophyta; Magnoliopsida; Malvales; Malvaceae.